RNAcentral lists this long non-coding RNA (210 nucleotides) under Elaeis guineensis (African oil palm). RNAcentral describes it as "long non-coding RNA (EGUI_LNC069439)". The record is from RNAcentral. Lineage: Eukaryota; Viridiplantae; Streptophyta; Magnoliopsida; Arecales; Arecaceae.
CCUUUACACCCAUUCAUGUUGAACCCUUUCAACAUUAAAUUCUAUGUACCUAAACUGGGACAAACUCUAUAUCCAUUAACAUCUAUCCCUAUAGAUACCAAGUAUAUUGGAUGCUUAACCCAAGUCUAUUCCAUGAAAACUUCUGUGAUACGCAAGCAAUUGAUCGAGUACAAUAUCGGGCUCAUCAUCCCAAUAUACUGUAUGUCCCCC